Molecule: ribosomal RNA, 879 nt
Filed under: uncultured bacterium
Lineage: Bacteria
Description: bacterial SSU rRNA
Rfam family: Bacterial small subunit ribosomal RNA
Source: RNAcentral
GUGGGUAAGCUGCCGGGGAGGCCUACACAUGCAAGUCGAGGGGUAACGGCAGUAGCUUGCUACUAGACGAGAACGGCGCACGGGUGAGUAACGCGUAUGUAAUCUGCCUUGUACAGAGGGAUAGCCCAGAGAAAUUUGGAUUAAUACCUCAUAGUAUUACUGAAUCGCAUGAUUCGGUAAUUAAAGCUCCGGCGGUACAAGAUGAACAUGCGUGACAUUAGCUAGUUGGUAAGGUAACGGCUUACCAAGGCUACGAUGUCUAGGGGUUCUGAGAGGAUGAUCCCCCACACUGGUACUGAGACACGGGCCAGACUCCUACGGGAGGCAGCAGUGAGGAAUAUUGGUCAAUGGACGCAAGUCUGAACCAGCCAUCCCGCGUGAAGGAUGACUGCCCUAUGGGUUGUAAACUUCUUUUAUAUGCAAAUAAACCUACUUUCGUGAAAGUAGCUGAAGGUAGCAUAUGAAUAAACACCGGCUAACUCCGUGCCAGCAGCCGCGGUAAUACGGAGGGUGUAAGCGUUAUCCGGAUUUAUUGGGUUUAAAGGGUACGUAGGCGGUAAUAUAAGUCAGUGGUGAAAUCCUGCAGCUCAACUGUAGAACUGCCAUUGAAACUGUAUUACUUGAGUAUACUUGAGGUAGGCGGAAUGAGUAGUGUAGCGGUGAAAUGCUUAGAUAUUACUCAGAACACCGAUUGCGAAGGCAGCUUACUAAGGUAUAACUGACGCUGAUGUACGAAAGCGUGGGGAGCGAACAGGAUUAGAUACCCUGGUAGUCCACGCCGUAAACGAUGAUUACUCGCUGUUGGCGAUACACAGUCAGUGGCUAAGCGAAAGUUUUAAGUAAUCCACCUGGGGAGUACGCUCGCAAGAGUGAAACUCA